This 119-nucleotide ribosomal RNA is filed under the name Medicago truncatula (barrel medic). The record is from RNAcentral. Lineage: Eukaryota; Viridiplantae; Streptophyta; Magnoliopsida; Fabales; Fabaceae.
AGGUGCGAUCAUAUCAGCACUAAUGCACCGGAUCCCAUUAGAACUCUGCAGUUAAGCGUGCUUGGGCGAGAGUAGUACUAGGAUGGGUGACCUCCUGGGAAGUCCUUGUGUUUAACCUC